Tribolium castaneum (red flour beetle) is the source of this 85-nucleotide non-coding RNA. Lineage: Eukaryota; Metazoa; Arthropoda; Insecta; Coleoptera; Tenebrionidae. The record is from RefSeq and is marked provisional.
UCUCCGCACUUGACACAUCGGUGUUCUACCAUGCAGUUCCUCUGUGCGUGGAAGAAUCGCUAACACCGAUGGCACUGAGCUGUUU